Molecule: ribosomal RNA, 495 nt
Filed under: uncultured bacterium
Lineage: Bacteria
Description: bacterial SSU rRNA
Rfam family: Bacterial small subunit ribosomal RNA
Source: RNAcentral
AUGAACGCUAGCGACAGGCCUAACACAUGCAAGUCGAGGGGCAGCACAAGGAGCAAUCUGAGGUGGCGACCGGCGCACAGGUGAGUAACACGUAUGCAACCUGCCUGUAAGCGGGGAAUAACCCGUUGAAAGACGGACUAAUACCGCAUAAUACUAAAUUACUGCAUGGUAAUUUAUUUAAACAUUUAUGGCUUACAGAUGGGCAUGCGCAUGAUUAGCUAGUUGGAGAGGUAACGGCUCCCCAAGGCAACGAUCAUUAGGGGUUCUGAGAGGAAGGUCCCCCACACUGGUACUGAGACACGGACCAGACUCCUACGGGAGGCAGCAGUGAGGAAUAUUGGUCAAUGGACGAGAGUCUGAACCAGCCAAGUCGCGUGCAGGAAGAAUGUCCCUAUGGAUUGUAAACUGCUUUUGCAGGGGAAUAAAGUGCAUCACGUGUGAUGUUUUGUAUGUACUCUGCGAAUAAGGAUCGGCUAACUCCGUGCCAGCCGCUGC